This 413-nucleotide unclassified non-coding RNA is filed under the name soil metagenome. RNAcentral describes it as "partial contains 5.8S ribosomal RNA, internal transcribed spacer 2, and large subunit ribosomal RNA". The stretch from base 1 to 120 matches the Rfam family "5.8S ribosomal RNA", at positions 35 to 154 of the family's 154-position model. The record is from RNAcentral.
GAUGAAGAACGUAGCGAAAUGCGAUAAGUAAUGUGAAUUGCAGAAUUCAGUGAAUCAUCGAAUCUUUGAACGCACCUUGCGCUCUUUGGUAUUCCGAAGAGCAUGCCUGUUUGAGUGUCAUGAAAAUAUCAACCUUGACUUGGGUUUUGUGCUCUAGUCUCGGCUUGGAAUUGGGUGCUUGCCGCUUUUACGAGCGGCUCACCUUAAAUGUAUUAGCUGGAUCUGUCUUUGAGACUUGGUUUGACUUGGCGUAAUAAGUAUUUCGCUAAGGACAUUCUUCGGAGUGGCCUCGUUUCUAGGACGCUUGUCCGCUUUCCAAUACAAGUUCCACCUCGUGGACAUGACUUUUUAUUAUCUGGCCUCAAAUCAGGUAGGACUACCCGCUGAACUUCAGCAUAUCAAUAAGCGGAGGA